GAGGUUGUAGCUCAGUGGUAGAGCACUUGCCUAGCAUGUGUGAAGCACUGCCUAGCAUGUGUGAAGCACUGGGUUCCAUUCUCAGUACCACA
This 92-nucleotide transfer RNA is filed under the name Marmota monax (woodchuck). RNAcentral's name for it is "tRNA.Ala". Lineage: Eukaryota; Metazoa; Chordata; Mammalia; Rodentia; Sciuridae. The record is from RNAcentral.